This 279-nucleotide long non-coding RNA is filed under the name Manihot esculenta (cassava). RNAcentral's name for it is "long non-coding RNA (MESC_LNC010062)". Lineage: Eukaryota; Viridiplantae; Streptophyta; Magnoliopsida; Malpighiales; Euphorbiaceae. The record is from RNAcentral.
GCUGAUGAAGCUAGAGUUGCAACUAGCGCUGAUGAAGCUGAAGUUGCAACGCCGACGAAGCUAGAGGCCGCUGGCCGCUACGACACUAGGAGGCGGUCUGGAGCUAGAUGUUAGAAAUGCACUGGUUGCUGAUUUUCGGAUGAAAGAGGAGAUGAAGAUCGAAGAAGGAGAGGAGGCAGAGAAAAAAGAAAGAAGAUAGCUAGGAUUUUUCUUCUAAAAUAAUAAUAUAUACAUAGAAUUAACGAUUGAGAUUUAUAAGAGUUGAUGGUUAGAUUUAAA